This is a non-coding RNA of Oryza sativa Japonica Group (Japanese rice), 588 nucleotides long. The record is from RefSeq and is a predicted model, not a curated record. NCBI's taxonomy places the organism in Eukaryota, Viridiplantae, Streptophyta, Magnoliopsida, Poales, Poaceae.
GAACCGUCAGAAUUCAGAAAAAGAAAUCAGUCAGACUCGUCUGAAUUUCUGAAUUAUUCAGAGUUUCAUCCAUUCCACUAUUCGCUAGUGCUAAUCUACGCUGUGAUAGGGAGGAGGAGGAGGAAGGGAUCGAGCAGGUUGGUUAGGUUUUACCAGGAGGGGACGAGGUUGGCGGCGAUGAAGAGGAGGUAGCCGGAGGUGCCGAGCACGAGCGCGCGCCUGGACCCCAUCCGCCGCACCACCGGCGAGCCCACCACCGAGAACGCCGUGAACGACGUGUACAGGAGCCCCAGCGACACCGACCCCAGGUUCUGGGCGGCGUGGUAGGCGAGGAAGACGAAGAGGAAGGCCGAGCUCAGCAGGUGCAGGUCGCGGGUCUGGGACGUCGCCGCCCUCGCCGCCGCCGCGGCGCCGCGUCUGCCGGAUACCAGCGGGGCGGCCUCCUCCUCCUCCUCGUCGAGGGCCACCGCGAGCUCGGCUCCGGCGGGAGCGUGGCCGUCUUCCAUGGCGGAUUUGGGGGGAGGAGUUGGUGGUGGCGUGGCUUCGGUGCCAAACUGCGCGAGCACUCUGCUCUGCUUGUGAUUUGGG